Molecule: long non-coding RNA, 1372 nt
Organism: Teleopsis dalmanni
Lineage: Eukaryota; Metazoa; Arthropoda; Insecta; Diptera; Diopsidae
Exons: 4
Source: RefSeq, a predicted model, not a curated record
CUUUAAAACUUUUUGUUUAAUAUGUGCAUUAUAUUUGCAGUUAUUUCUUGGAACAAGCAAAAUUGGCGGCUGUUUCAAGUUCUUGUCGGUUGCGAAAACAAAUCAAAAAUUCUUAAUACUAUAAAAUAUUUUUAACAAGUUCCAGAAUUAAUUGAAUAAAGUUGAACAUAUAUUCGAACUGAAGUCAUGAAACACGUAUCAAGUAUCACGAAUCACGAAUCAUGAAUCACGAAACACGAAUUUUUUGGAGGAAGAUACAUACCAGCCUUAAAACCAAAUCCAAUUGAAAAAACACAAGCCGCUAAAAAAACGAUCCGACCACCGACUCGUCUCUUGCAAAAGUAACCAAUGAACAAGAAAACUUGUGUCGUUCUUUCAAAAUUAAUAUAAAUACAUUUGGCAGCCCAUACUCAAAUUUGCGUGAUGUAACUAUAUUAAUUUGGUUUAGACUUUUUGGACACAAAUGAAUUUCACAAGGGGAUAAAUCGGAUUAGCACACUAUUUAAUAGUUAUUUCUUGGAACAAGCAAAAUUGGCGGCUGUUUCAAGUUCUUGUCGGUUGCGAAAACAAAUCAAAAAUUCUUAAUACUAUAAAAUAUUUUUAACAAGUUCCAGAAUUAAUUGAAAAAAGUUGAACAUAUAUUCGAACUGAAGUCAUGAAACACGUAUCAAGUAUCACGAAUCACGAAUCAUGAAUCACGAAACACGAAUUUUUUGGAGGAAGAUACAUACCAGCCUUAAAACCAAAUCCAAUUGAAAAAACACAAGCCGCUAAAAAAACGAUCCGACCACCGACUCGUCUCUUGCAAAAGUAACCAAUGAACAAGAAAACUUGUGUCGUUCUUUCAAAAUUAAUAUAAAUACAUUUGGCAGCCCAUACUCAAAUUUGCGUGAUGUAACUAUAUUAAUUUGGUUUAGACUUUUUGGACACAAAUGAAUUUCACAAGGGGAUAAAUCGGAUUAGCACACUAUUUAAUAGUUAUUUCUUGGAACAAGCAAAAUUGGCGGCUGUUUCAAGUUCUUGUCGGUUGCGAAAACAAAUCAAAAAUUCUUAAUACUAUAAAAUAUUUUUAACAAGUUCCAGAAUUAAUUGAAAAAAGUUGAACAUAUAUUCGAACUGAAGUCAUGAAACACGUAUCAAGUAUCACGAAUCACGAAUCAUGAAUCACGAAACACGAAUUUUUUGGAGGAAGAUACAUACCAGCCUUAAAACCAAAUCCAAUUGAAAAAACACAAGCCGCUAAAAAAACGAUCCGACCACCGACUCGUCUCUUGCAAAACCCAUACUCAAAUUUGCGUGAUGUAACUAUAUUAAUUUGGUUUAGACUUUUUGGACACAAAUGAAUUUCACAAGGGGAUAAAUCGGAUUAGCA